GACGAACGCUGGCGGCGUGCCUAACACAUGCAAGUCGAGCGAACAGACGAGAACUUUGUUUCUUUGUCGUUUGCCGCACUGGUGAGUAAAACAUGUGUAAACUCCCCUUAUAAUAGUGAUAUAUCCUAGGGAUACCGGAUCUUACCCCGUAUAAUCUUCUGAUCCGCAUGGUUGAUUAGUAAAAGACGGUCUUGCUGUGAUUUAUAGAGGGAUUCCCGCUGCAUUAGUUAGUUGUGAAGGUAACGGCUUACCAAGGCAACGAUGGAUAGCCGACUUGAGAGGGUGAUCGGCCACAUGGGAGCUGGGACACGGUCAAGACUCCUACGGGAGGCAGCAGUAGGGAAUCUUCCGCAAUGGGCGGAAGCCUGACGGAGCGACGCCGCGUGGUUGAUGAAGGCUUUGGGGUCGUAAAACUCUGUUAUGGGUGAAGAACAGAUGUGUAAGUAAAUGAGCACAUCGUGACGGUAAUUGAUCAAAAAGCCACGGCUAACUACGUG
This 497-nucleotide ribosomal RNA is filed under the name uncultured bacterium. Its description in RNAcentral is "partial 16S ribosomal RNA". It matches the Rfam family "Bacterial small subunit ribosomal RNA", at positions 28 to 507 of the family's 1533-position model. The record is from RNAcentral.